Molecule: long non-coding RNA, 241 nt
Organism: Asparagus officinalis (garden asparagus)
Lineage: Eukaryota; Viridiplantae; Streptophyta; Magnoliopsida; Asparagales; Asparagaceae
Exons: 3
Source: RefSeq, a predicted model, not a curated record
UUUCCAGUCAUGCAACGGCAAGUGCAAAUCAUCCCAUAUCAAGGUCAUAUUACUUAUCUAUGUUUGAAAUAUACUCUGAACGAGGGAAAGGAGAGAGGAUUUUUGACUUGUCUCCGGAUGGAGGUGAUUUAUCGUUUCAGCAGUCAGCAAUAAAAGGUCUUCAAGAGAUCAGGAUUUCAGAUGCAACUGAGGCAGAGAGUCUAGUUGUACGUUGCCUGCUGAAACGUGCUACAGCUGCAAC